GGAGGCUGGUGGUGGACGUGCCACUCGCCAACCGGGUCAGGUCCGGAAGGAAGCAGCCCCAACGAGUUGUGUACGGGUCAUCGUGCCGGCCUCCCAC
Non-coding RNA from Martelella mediterranea DSM 17316, 97 nucleotides. It matches the Rfam family "Bacterial small signal recognition particle RNA". From Rfam's summary of the family: The signal recognition particle (SRP) is a universally conserved ribonucleoprotein involved in the co-translational targeting of proteins to membranes. Archaeal SRP consists of a 7S RNA and homologues of the eukaryotic SRP19 and SRP54 proteins. NCBI's taxonomy places the organism in Bacteria, Pseudomonadati, Pseudomonadota, Alphaproteobacteria, Hyphomicrobiales, Aurantimonadaceae. The record is from Rfam.